AUUGAACGCUGGCGGCAUGCCUUACACAUGCAAGUCGAACGGCAGCAUGAUCUAGCUUGCUCGAUCGAUGGCGAGUGACGCACGGGUGAGUAAUACAUCAGCACGUGCUCUGUUGUGGGGGAUAACUAGUCGCAAGAUUAGCUAAUACCGCAUACCACCUGAUGGUGACAGUGGGGGACCGCAAGGCCUCAUGCUAUAGGAGCGGCCGGUGUCUUAUUAGCUAGUUUGUGAGGUAAAGUCUCACCAAGGCGACGAUCAGUAGCUGGUCUGAGAGGAGGAUCAGCCACACGAGGACGGAGCCACGGCCCAGACUCCUACGGGAGGGAGCAGUGUGGAAUUGUGGACAAUGGGCGAAAGCCUGAUCCAGCAAGGCCGCGUGUGUGAAGAAGGCCUUCGGGUUGGAAAGCACGUUUGUCCGGAAAGAAAUGGUUCUGGUUAAUACCUGGGGUCGAUGACGGUACCGGAAGAAUAAGGACCGGCUAACUACGUG
Molecule: ribosomal RNA, 490 nt
Filed under: uncultured bacterium
Lineage: Bacteria
Description: partial 16S ribosomal RNA
Rfam family: Bacterial small subunit ribosomal RNA
Source: RNAcentral